AGUGAACGCUGGCGGUAGGCCUAACACAUGCAAGUCGAACGGCAGCACAGUAAGAGCUUGCUCUUACGGGUGGCGAGUGGCGGACGGGUGAGGAAUACAUCGGAAUCUACUUUUUCGUGGGGGAUAACGUAGGGAAACUUACGCUAAUACCGCAUACGACCUACGGGUGAAAGCAGGGGAUCUUCGGACCUUGCGCGAUUGAAUGAGCCGAUGUCGGAUUAGCUAGUUGGCGGGGUAAAGGCCCACCAAGGCGACGAUCCGUAGCUGGUCUGAGAGGAUGAUCAGCCACACUGGAACUGAGAAACGGUCCAGACUCCUAAGGGAGGGAGCAGGGGGGAAUAUUGGACAAUGGGCGCAAGCCUGAUCCAGCCAUACCGCGUGGGUGAAGAAGGCCUUCGGGUUGGAAAGCCCUUUUGUUGGGAAAGAAAAGCAGCAGGUUAAUACCCCGCUGUUCUGACGGUACCCAAAGAAUAAGCACCGGCUAACUUCGUG
This 492-nucleotide ribosomal RNA is filed under the name uncultured bacterium. Its description in RNAcentral is "partial 16S ribosomal RNA". It matches the Rfam family "Bacterial small subunit ribosomal RNA", at positions 29 to 507 of the family's 1533-position model. The record is from RNAcentral.